RNAcentral lists this unclassified non-coding RNA (250 nucleotides) under uncultured fungus. RNAcentral's name for it is "sequence contains ITS1, 5.8S rRNA gene". The stretch from base 202 to 250 matches the Rfam family "5.8S ribosomal RNA", at positions 1 to 49 of the family's 154-position model. Lineage: Eukaryota; Fungi. The record is from RNAcentral.
UUUCCGUAGGUGAACCUGCGGAAGGAUCAUUACACAUAUAAAGUAUGCCUGGGAAAAUUCGAAAGAAAAGUACCCAGGCGUAUUCUUAUACCCAUGUCUUUUGCGUACUACUUGUUUCCUUGGUGGGCUUGCCUGCCAUUAGGACACCCCUACAAACCUUUUGUAAUUGCAGUCAGCGUCAGAAAAUAACGUAAUCGUUACAACUUUCAACAACGGAUCUCUUGGUUCUGGCAUCGAUGAAGAACGCAGC